AGAGUUUGAUCCUGGCUCAGGAUGAACGCUGGCGGCGUGCUUAACACAUGCAAGUCGAACGAAGCACUUUAUUUGAUUUCCUUCGGGACUGAUUAUUUUGUGACUGAGUGGCGGACGGGUGAGUAACGCGUGGGUAACCUGCCUUGUACAGGGGGAUAACAGUUGGAAACGGCUGCUAAUACCGCAUAAGCGCACAGCAUCGCAUGAUGCAGUGUGAAAAACUCCGGUGGUAUAAGAUGGACCCGCGUUGGAUUAGCUAGUUGGUGAGGUAACGGCCCACCAAGGCGACGAUCCAUAGCCGACCUGAGAGGGUGACCGGCCACAUUGGGACUGAGACACGGCCCAAACUCCUACGGGAGGCAGCAGUGGGGAAUAUUGCACAAUGGGCGAAAGCCUGAUGCAGCGACGCCGCGUGAGCGAAGAAGUAUUUCGGUAUGUAAAGCUCUAUCAGCAGGGAAGAUAAUGACGGUACCUGACUAAGAAGCACCGGCUAAAUACGUGCCAGCAGCCGCGGUAAUACGUAUGGUGCAAGCGUUAUCCGGAUUUACUGGGUGUAAAGGGAGCGCAGGCGGUGCGGCAAGUCUGAUGUGAAAGCCCGGGGCUCAACCCCGGUACUGCAUUGGAAACUGUCGUACUAGAGUGUCGGAGGGGUAAGCGGAAUUUCUAGUGUAGCGGUGAAAUGCGUAGAUAUUAGGAGGAACACCAGUGGCGAAGGCGGCUUACUGGACGAUAACUGACGCUGAGGCUCGAAAGCGUGGGGAGCAAACAGGAUUAGAUACCCUGGUAGUCCACGCCGUAAACGAUGA
Molecule: ribosomal RNA, 806 nt
Filed under: uncultured bacterium
Lineage: Bacteria
Description: bacterial SSU rRNA
Rfam family: Bacterial small subunit ribosomal RNA
Source: RNAcentral